UUUUUUUUCUUCCUUGGUGGACUUUUUACAACCUACUAGGAGUUGAUGGGCUUCGAAUUUUCAAGAAUCGAUGUGCAAAUAAUUUCCUUGGGAGGAACUCUUUAUAACGAUCUACAAUCAGAAAGUGAUUCAAAAGACUCUCAGCUAAGUGCUACAUAAUGAGCAACUCGUACUCCUCAACCAAACGGCACAGCAAGAAGACAGCCAUUGGUGAAACAGGAAGAAGACCUUCAUCAGAACCCAAUCUUUGUGGCACCCUAAUCUUGGACUUCCCAACCUCCAGAGUUAUGAGAAAUAAAUUUAUGUUGUUUAAG
This 314-nucleotide long non-coding RNA is filed under the name Homo sapiens (human). RNAcentral describes it as "HSALNT0078203". The record is from RNAcentral. Lineage: Eukaryota; Metazoa; Chordata; Mammalia; Primates; Hominidae.